RNAcentral lists this long non-coding RNA (4024 nucleotides) under Homo sapiens (human). Its description in RNAcentral is "HSALNT0382750". The record is from RNAcentral. Lineage: Eukaryota; Metazoa; Chordata; Mammalia; Primates; Hominidae.
ACAGAGCAAGAUUCCGCCUCAAAAAAAAAAAAAUUUUAUUUCUUAGAAUACUUUUCAUUACCUUCUCAAUACCACAUGUCAUUCCACAGCCAAUGAGUAAAGUGAACAUUAUUUGCCUUGAAUAUGCAAGCAACUAAGACUCUCUAUACUUUUCCUGUCAUUUUAGGUACAUGUGUUACAUAAAGUGAGUUUCAUAUUUUACAAAAUUAUAUACAAUAAACACAUACUACUAGAACAAAAUUAAAGUUACAUAUCUUUAAGUAAAUAUGCUAAUUUCUGAGUAACAGUGAUGAGAACAUAAUAACAGUGAUGAGAACAUAAUCAUGUUGGAAAACAAUUCUCCAUGUCCCUCUUGCAUUUCUGCAGGUUUUAUCAGCAAAAGCCCUGAUGGUCCUUUUAUUCUAGACUAUCUUUUCAAGACUGUUUGUAUAUCAAACACCCUUAGAAGAUAAAAAUACUGUUUCCUUCCGAAGCAAAGGGCAGGUUUGUUUCUGUCCAGUAUUAUAAAGAUAAUGUCUCAGUCAAGGGCAAAGGUCACACAGGCUUACUGUCCACUGUAUAAAAAUUCAGAUUUCUUCAGGUUUAGAUUUCUCAGCUGUGACACAGCAUCAACCUGGACCCCUUCGUGUUGCCUGCAUAGGGCUUAGGAAGCAAGGAGAACCAACGAGAAGGUGAUGCUGAUGCUGCUGGCUAUGCAAUGAGUAAUACAUUUACCUGUCUCUGACCCUAGAAUGCCAUGACUUCAGCCAGCACCCAUGAAACUGUGUCAGGAUGAACACAAAAAGCCCAACAGUAUCCAGAAAUGUAAACUGAGCAAGGAAGAACAACAGGAGAUACAGCUACAAUGAAUCUAGGCUUUGUUCUCUAACAAGGGUGGACCCUGUCAAUCAUAUAAGAAAGGAGAUCCUGCCUGAGCUACAAGGCUGAACAAAAGGAAGCAAAAACCCACCAUCCGGACAUAGAAGCCAACACUUGAGUCAAAGUCUUUUCAGGGAAUUGGACAGUAUCUGAGUGGCUAUAUAUGUGGUUGUCUUCAAUCCAGAGCCUCCUUAUGUCUUUUGUUUUGUUGCAAUGCGGACAUCUCUUACAGUAAGCAAACUUUUAGGGAAUGUGUGUUUCUCUGCAAAAUGACACCAUAAUUAGAGACAGACUAUUCCUCCUCAGCCUUAGCCAAUGAGCUCGUGUGGCCUGCCCAAGUGUCGUGAGUCGGGGGGGAAUCGUCCUGCUCUGUAAAUAUUUUCAUUCAAUGUAAACAAAACACAGUUGCAAAUCUUUUAACCAUUCAGCUAAUUAAUGUUCUGAAUUACUGCCUAUAAAAUACUCUCUAUAAAUCAUCAGUAACAAGAAGAAUCACAUUACUAUUAACAGGCAGUAUUUUUCCAGGUACCCAAAGUUAUAAAAUUAGUAAAACAGCAAUGGCCCAGGCUAAAAGCAGUGCAAAUCAGCAGUUAAUCCUUGAUUCUGACCUGCUUCCUUUUGGUACACUAAUUUUACAGUCAGUUUCUGAUACCUGCUGUCCUCUAGUAAUGCUCACCAUGAGCUAAAGUUGGCUACUGAACUCAGUUAGGUGAAAGCUCCCAUCAGUUACCAACUUCCGAGGUCAACACUAGCUUUUUGAAGGAUGCUGAGGAAAAUGGGCAUAUUGGUACCAAAGGGCCCAUGCCAACAAUUACAAUUCUUUCAUAUCCCAUUUUUAGCAUAUGAUUCAUAGUUACCAACCACAUACUGUAAGAGUCAGAAGUGCAUGCAUCAAGAAAAGGAGAACUGGGGGAAUGUCAUAUACAGAGGAACAGGAAUGGGUAUGUGUAUGUUACGCUGGAGAACAGACAGGUGGGUGACCAAGGAAUACUAUCAACUUAGGUUUUAUUACUUAGAAAAAGUUCAGAAUAGAGGUAAUAUUUCAGAGGCAUUGGGGGUUGAUGAUGGGACAGAAGAGCUGAUGUGAGGAUGACACUAGCGUACCCAGCCUCAGGGAAAUCUUACAAGAAGGUCUUGAUACAGAAAAGCUACCGUGAAACUAUGCAGAACUAACAAAGGAAGCAGGGCAGAAUGCAGAAGCAGCCAAAUAAAGCGUGGGUAUAUAACACAGAAUGAGAAUGCUGAAGCUAAUCUACAGUGAAUUAUUAGGAUGUCAAUGGGAGGGAUUGGAGUUGUUAAAUGUGGAAUACCAAAGUGACAGGCUCACAAUUUAAACUCUGUAAUUACUGCCAUAUUUCACCUCAUCUGUUAAACACAAUUUAUAUAACAUGAUGCUUAUGAAUCCAUACUUACAAAGAUAAAUUCAUUUAACCAACAAACGUUGUUUUGAGUGUUUAGAUAAUAUUAAUGAACAGAUAAAAAUGACAAACUCCUUAGUACAAAAAAGCAAAUUUCCACAGAUAAAAGUGGAGAAAGUGCACAUGACGGCUUGAGAAUUUAUGUGGCACAGGCACCCAACUAUAGUUUUUAAAACACUGAUAGAAAAUACUGAAAUUAGAAAUAAUUUUGUAGAAAUAAUUGGAGAACACUACCAAAUGGUUUUUUAGAAUUGUGAGAAAACUUUGCUAAAAAUCAUGGGACAAAAUGAACUUAUAUGACAUGGUGUACCUAUCCUAAGUAUUGUAGAAGGAAUUCCUGCACUGAGAAAGAAGAGAACAAAAGUCUAAGAUAGAAAAAGAACACAUACGCUUAUAUCAAUAAAAGCUAAUAUACAUAUUCAUGUAAUAAGAGGAAUUUAUCGACUCAAAAAAGAGGUCUAGAAUAGCAGGAAAAACAUGGACUUUGAAAACAGUCCAACCUGGGACUGCACUCUAUUAUCAAUUACAUAUGAGAUGUGAGACACUGGGAAAGUUAUUAACUACACCAAUCUGUUUUCCUGUACGUAAAAUGAGACAAAGAGUAGGAAUGUAAACACUAUAUGCCUGUGUCUCAUAUCCAUUCACUUCUUCCCACUUCAGACCACAAAAUCCUCUUAUCCUGCCUGUGCUAUCAUAACGGCAGGCUAACCGAUUACUACCAGAAUAAUCUUUUCAACACGUACACUGAGAGGUAAGGCAUCCUCCCCAUAGCUGUUAAGGCCCUGCUCUUCCAGGUCCCACCUCUGGCUCCGGCCUUCUCAUCCUGCUACCCCACUUUCCACUCAAGGUGCUCCCAUCCACCACAAUGGCCCUGUCCAUUCCUUCCUUCCUCAGGGCCCUGUAUUCACUGUUCAUUCUUUCUAGAGAGCUCUUCCUUAGCAUAGCUAGUGUCUUUCCAUCCUCUGGAGAUCAGCUUUUUAAAUGUCUGCACCUCGAAAAGAUCUUCUGUCUAAAGACCAUUCUAUCUGAAAUAGUUCUGCCCAUUAUUCCCUACACAGCACCCUACUCAUUUCUUUCAAAUCAAUUAUAACAGUUUGUACUUAUUUAUUUCUCUAUUUAUUGUCUACCUUUAAGCAAUAAUGGGAUAAAGACUGUAACCCGUGGCUCGCAUGGGAUAGGUACUUAGGUUUCUUUGAGUUUAUAGUUCUCAAAGAUGUGGUCUUCUCCAUCUCCAAAGCAAAGAAACUAACACCAAACGUCCCCAUCUUAUUUCAAACUGGAAACAGGGUGUUUUCAGGACUCCUAGUGUUUAUUUACUAAUGACUAUUUUCUGAGAAGUGAAGUUUUCUCCACUGAAAAUCUUUUAUUAUUUAUUGGGCAGGAUAGUACAAAUACACAAAGACAAACACCUUUAUUAGCUGUAGGUUUGUGGGGAAAACAAAAAAACAAAAAACCACAUUCUUGUCACUCAAAUUCUUCAUACCCCUUACCAUGCUCGAGAAAACCCUCGGGCUCUUCAUAUGAAUAUGGGGUAAAAAGUAACUGCCUGGCAAGUCUCAAAUUAAGUAACGUAUAUGGAAGUGCUUCAUUAAAACUAUAAAACAGCAACUCUGAGGCCAAUAAGCCUGUACUGAUUUAGCUCCAUUCACAAGGGCUUUCCAUGCCCACCUAGAGUAUAAAGUAUUAUAUAUUUUAGCAUUAUUUUAAAUGUUCAAUAUUUCUUGUGAUACUCAGAUUUUCUUUUUAUC